CGGGGUGUAGCGCAGUUGGUAGCGCGCUUGGUUCGGGACCAAGAGGCCCGGGGUUCAAAUCCCCGCACUCCGACCA
Molecule: transfer RNA, 76 nt
Filed under: Oscillibacter sp. CAG:241
Lineage: Bacteria; Bacillati; Bacillota; Clostridia; Eubacteriales; Oscillospiraceae
Also listed under: 9 other names
Description: transfer RNA-Pro(CGG)
Rfam family: tRNA
About the family: Transfer RNA (tRNA) molecules are approximately 80 nucleotides in length.
Source: RNAcentral